UAAAAUUUAAAAUUAUUAUACUAAAAUAGUAAAUAAUUAUUUAUUGAAACUUAAAUAAUUUGGCGGUAUUUUAGUUCAUUUAGAGGAAUCUGUUUAAUAAUUGAUAUUCCACGAUUAAAUUUACUUAAUUUAUAAUUUUGUAUAUCGUUGUUAUAAAAAUAUUUUUUAAUAAAAUUAAU
Molecule: ribosomal RNA, 179 nt
Filed under: Acrapex lukumbura
Lineage: Eukaryota; Metazoa; Arthropoda; Insecta; Lepidoptera; Noctuidae
Description: partial 12S ribosomal RNA
Source: RNAcentral